RNAcentral lists this long non-coding RNA (1065 nucleotides) under Cottoperca gobio. RNAcentral's name for it is "lncRNA (ENSCGOG00000004649.1)". The record is from RNAcentral. Lineage: Eukaryota; Metazoa; Chordata; Actinopteri; Perciformes; Bovichtidae.
AUGCUGAAGACUUUGGGUGUUGAGGGGCUGUCUUGGUUGACACGCCUCGUCAACAUUGCGUGGAAGUCUGGGACAGUGCCUAGGGGGAGGCAGACCGGGGUGGUGGUUCCCCUAUUUAAAAAGGGGACCAGAGAGUGUGUGCCAACUAUAGGGGUAUCACACUUCUCAGCCUCCCCGGUAAAGUCUACUCCAAGGUGCUGGAAAGGAGGGUUCGGCCGAUUGGUUGGGAUGAGGAUCAGCACCGCAAAAUCUGAGGCCAUGGCUCUCAGCAGGAAACCGGUGAAUGGCCUACUCCGGGUAGGGAAUGAGCCCUUACCCCAAGUGAAGGAGUUCAAGUACCUUGGGGUCUUGUUCGCGAGUGAGGGCAUGAUGGAGCGAGAGAUUGGCCGGAGAAUCGGAGCAGCGGGGACGGUAUUACAUUCGCUUUACCGCACCGUUGUGACGAAAAGAGAGCUGAGCCAGAAGGCAAAGCUCUCGAUCUUCCGGGCGUUCUUCGUUCCUACCCUCUUCUGGGUCAUGACCGAAAGAACGAGAUCACGGGUACAAGCAGCCAAAAUGGGUUUUCUCAGACGGGUGGCUGGCGUCUCCCUUACAGAUAGGGUGAGAAGCUCAGCCAUCCGUGAGAGACUCGGAGUAGAGCCGCUGCUCCUUUACGUUGAAAGGAGCCAGUUGAGGUGGUUCGGGCAUCUAGUAAGGAUGCCACCUGGCCGCCUCCCUAGGGAGGUGUUCCAGGCACGUCUAGCUGGGAAGAGACCCCGGGGAAGACCCAGGACUCGGUGGAGAGAUUAUAUCUCCUCACUGGCCUGGGAACGCCUCGGGAUCCCCCAGUUGGAGCUGGCGGAUGUGGCCCGGAGAAGGGAAGUUCGGGGUUCCUUACUGGAGCUGCUGCCCCCACGACCCGACCCCGGAUAUGCGGUAGACGAUGGAUGGAUGGAUGGAUAUUGUGUGUGUGUGGGUGGGUGCGUGCGUGUGGGUGUGUGUGGGUGGGUGCUUGCACAACACUGCCCCCUCUUACUGGAGGCUGCAACUACUUUCCCUUUUGUUUCUCAGUUGAGUGAACUGUGA